AAUUUUUGUGAUUUUCCAGAACCAAAUGAGAUUCAUCACUGCUACAGCCAGUGGUAUCGUAAGAAGGCUGUAAAAUCCUAGCGGAAAUACUUGCUUCACAUGCGUGCGGAAAGCCAGCUUGUUAGAUUCAUGUCUCUAAAAUGUAUCUUUCUCUCUGCUUUGUUUCACUCAUCAAGCUCAGGGAUUGAACUUACCUUAUGGAAAUGGAGGUACAUAUGAACAAAGAAGUAGAUAAACAAUAGGAUCCUCGCAACCCAUAUAUAAAAAGCAGAGACAUUUGGUUUAUUUUUCUUCACAGCUAAAACACAGAGAUUUGUUUUGGUCUAUUUAAGAGUACCAGCCAACCCAAGAACAGGGCAAUCCCGUUGAGCGUGUAAGCCUUAGAGCCUUUUUGACCACUAGUAUCCAAAUACCUGCCAUCACCACAACUGAUGU
This 435-nucleotide long non-coding RNA is filed under the name Capsella grandiflora. RNAcentral describes it as "long non-coding RNA (CGRA_LNC000971)". Lineage: Eukaryota; Viridiplantae; Streptophyta; Magnoliopsida; Brassicales; Brassicaceae. The record is from RNAcentral.